RNAcentral lists this ribosomal RNA (446 nucleotides) under uncultured bacterium. RNAcentral's name for it is "bacterial SSU rRNA". It matches the Rfam family "Bacterial small subunit ribosomal RNA", at positions 330 to 792 of the family's 1533-position model. The record is from RNAcentral.
ACCAGACUCCUACGGGAGGCAGCAGUGGGGAAUAUUGCACAAUGGGGGAAACCCUGAUGCAGCGACGCCGCGUGAGUGAAGAAGUAUUUCGGUAUGUAAAGCUCUAUCAGCAGGGAAGAAGAAGGACGGUACCUGACUAAGAAGCCCCGGCUAACUACGUGCCAGCAGCCGCGGUAAUACGUAGGGGGCAAGCGUUAUCCGGAUUUACUGGGUGUAAAGGGAGCGUAGACGGCAGUGCAAGUCCGGAGUGAAAGCCCGGGGCUCAACCCUGGGACUGCUCUGGAAACUGUAAAGCUGGAGUGCGGGAGGGGCAGGCGGAAUUCCUGGUGUAGCGGUGAAAUGCGUAGAUAUCAGGAGGAACACCAGCGGCGAAGGCGGCCUGCUGGACCGUAACUGACGUUGAGGCUCGAAAGCGUGGGGAGCAAACAGGAUUAGAUACCCUGGUA